This is a long non-coding RNA of Saccostrea cuccullata (small rock oyster), 1052 nucleotides long. RefSeq lists it as uncharacterized. The record is from RefSeq and is a predicted model, not a curated record. NCBI's taxonomy places the organism in Eukaryota, Metazoa, Mollusca, Bivalvia, Ostreida, Ostreidae. The transcript has 3 exons.
GGAAGUAUGGGUUUGAAUGCUGCAAUGGAUUCAAAUGGAAUUCACAUAAUGGAAAAUGUGAGAAAUGCCCCAGAGGAUUUACCGGGAGAAGAUGUGAACUUCAUUGUGUAUAUCCAAGUUAUGGAGAUAAAUGCCAGUAUGAGUGUAGAUGUGAAUCUGCAUUAUGUGAUCCAGCUAAAGGAUGUCACGUUUUAGAAACAACAGAACAAAACUUCAUUUAUAUUAAUAGGACAACCAUAAGGAAUGUUGAACAGUUCAAUACCAAAAAUACUACAGAUGAAUACCAAUCCGUAACGGGAUUUAAAAUGAACACAGUCAUUUAUUCACCGUUGGUCAGUGGAUCAUAUCAAGCUGUCUUAAUUGCUAGUAUAUCAUCGAUUGUAUUGUUAACUUUAGUAUUAUGUGUUGUCAUAGUCCUUCGGAAUCUUAAAUUGCCAAACCAGCUGAUCAUAAAUGUUAAUGUAAACGCAUCAAAUACCACACCAGAACCAACUUAUUCAAGAGAAGUCGAAGAUAUUCAUUUAAGUCUAUAUGAAUCUCAAAAUGUUGAAUCUCCAAGCGAACAAGAUUCUUCUUUUUAUGAAGAAUUAAAGGACCAUCCUCGUGAACUUGAAAGUGCUUCGAAGCAUACAUAUUUACUUGUUCUCGACAACAAUGAGGUGGACAAUGUUGUAUUUGAUAACAACAAUCUAGAAGAGGACGUUUAUAUAUCACCUCUGAAUGAAGGAGAAAGAAAUCAAGUUACUGAUUCAAUACUGUGAUGGUAGAUAUUUCACUUAUAAAGGAGAAUGUUAUAAGUAAACAGACUUAUAUAUGAUUAUUGUGUACAUGAUUAAAAUGCUAAUUUUGUUCUCUCUCUGCGUCUGUAUCGAAAAACCUGUUCAUUUAUUGAGGUGGUUGGUGAAUACGACUCCUUGACUAGAAAAAGGUACAAGGUUUAAUAAUCACAAAAAUAAGAACAAAUGAAUUGGAUUUAUAAUCUAGUUGAGGAAAAUCAUAAAAUUUAAUGAUAAUACCCAUAUGUUACCAUGUCAUUGUAGGAUCUAAGUGUC